RNAcentral lists this transfer RNA (66 nucleotides) under Xylotrupes beckeri intermedius. RNAcentral's name for it is "tRNA-Leu". Lineage: Eukaryota; Metazoa; Arthropoda; Insecta; Coleoptera; Scarabaeidae. The record is from RNAcentral.
UUCUAAAAAAAGGCGUAACCUUUAUAUAUGGAGUUUAAGACCAUUGCACUAAUCUGCCAUAUUAGA